UGGUUCACCCCGAAAAAAGCAUGUGCGUU
RNAcentral lists this non-coding RNA (29 nucleotides) under Rattus norvegicus (Norway rat). The record is from RNAcentral. Lineage: Eukaryota; Metazoa; Chordata; Mammalia; Rodentia; Muridae.